Molecule: small nuclear RNA, 107 nt
Organism: Mustela putorius furo (domestic ferret)
Lineage: Eukaryota; Metazoa; Chordata; Mammalia; Carnivora; Mustelidae
Source: Ensembl
GUGCUCACUUUGGAAGCACAUAUACUAAAGCUGGAAAGAUACAGAGAUGAUUAGCAUCACUCCUGUGCAAGAAGGACAUACAAAUUUAUGAAGCAUUCAACAUUUUU